CGGUUUAGGUCCCGGUUGGUAUACUGCCAGCAGCCUUGCCGGUCCAAGCAAUCAAGAUCAUCAGCAAGUCAAUAAUGGAGACGGUCGAGCACUGUCAUCACACUAAACGUGCAACACCAGUGAGAUGACUGAAGAUUGGGUUGUGGUUGGAGUGAGAGGAGAAGCAAAUCACUUGACCAGUUGAAUCCUUGUGAGUGCAACCCUCUAUUUCAUUCCCACUUUGUUGUGAGUGCAACCCUCUAUUUCAUUCCCACUUUGUUGUUGGCAAAGUGAUUUGUCACUGUAUGAUCAUCUGUUUCUUCAGUGCAACAUUCUUCAAAGUAUGCCAUGAAAAUUUCCAAAAGAAAAAAGUAUGCCAUGAGAAUUUGGUUAUCUGAUUUUUUCUUCUGCAGGGGUGUACAAGACGGCCGAGCUGUGGCAGGUGAAGGAGCCGCUGCCGCUGCCCGCGCCGAAGAAGC
RNAcentral lists this long non-coding RNA (458 nucleotides) under Triticum aestivum (bread wheat). Its description in RNAcentral is "long non-coding RNA (TAES_LNC014365)". The record is from RNAcentral. Lineage: Eukaryota; Viridiplantae; Streptophyta; Magnoliopsida; Poales; Poaceae.